RNAcentral lists this ribosomal RNA (180 nucleotides) under uncultured Glomeromycotina. RNAcentral's name for it is "partial small subunit ribosomal RNA". The record is from RNAcentral. Lineage: Eukaryota; Fungi; Glomeromycota.
GACCUGGCCGGGCGGUCCGCCUCACGGUGUGUACUGUCUGGCUGGGCCUUACCUCUUGGUGAGCCGGUAUGCCCUUUACUGGAUGUGCCGGUGAACCAGGACUUUUACCUUGAGAAAAUUAGAGUGUUCAAAGCAGGCCUAUGCCUGAAUACGUUAGCAUGGAAUAAUGAAAUAGGACGU